CUACGGGAGGCAGCAGCAAGGAAUUUUCGGCAAUGGGCGCAAGCCUGACCGAGCAACGCCGCGUGGAGGACGACGGCCUUCGGGUUGUAAACUCCUUUUGCGGGGGAUGAUCGUGACCGUACCCCGCGAAUAAGGCUCGGCUAACUCUGUGCCAGCAGCCGCGGUAAGACAGAGGAGCCAAGCGUUGUCCGGAUUGACUGGGCGUAAAGCGCACGCAGGCGGUUGCGCGCGUGGGGUGUGAAAGCGAGCCGCUUAACGGCUCGAGGCCAUCCCAUACGGCGCAACUCGAGAGUGGCAGAGGUUCGUGGAAUUGCCGGUGUAGUGGUGAAAUGCGUAGAGAUCGGCAGGAACACCAAGGGGGAAACCAGCGAACUGGGCCAUAUCUGACGCUCAGGUGCGAAAGCGUGGGGAGCGAACCGGAUUAGAAACCCCUGUAGUCC
RNAcentral lists this ribosomal RNA (440 nucleotides) under uncultured bacterium. RNAcentral's name for it is "bacterial SSU rRNA". It matches the Rfam family "Bacterial small subunit ribosomal RNA", at positions 339 to 796 of the family's 1533-position model. The record is from RNAcentral.